CAGUAGCCGCGGGAAUACAGAGGGUGCGAGCGUUAAUCGGAUUUACUGGGCGUAAAGCGUGCGUAGGCGGCUUUUUAAGUCGGAUGUGAAAUCCCUGAGCUUAACUUCGGAAUUGCAUUCGAUACUGGGAAGCUAGAGUAUGGGAGAGGAUGGUAGAAUUCCAGGUGUAGCGGUGAAAUGCGUAGAGAUCUGGAGGAAUACCGAUGGCGAAGGCAGCCAUCUGGCCUAAUACUGACGCUGAGGUACGAAAGCAUGGGGAGCAAACAGGAUUAGAUACCCGAGUAGUCCCUGUCUCUUAUAC
This 301-nucleotide ribosomal RNA is filed under the name uncultured bacterium. Its description in RNAcentral is "partial 16S ribosomal RNA". It matches the Rfam family "Bacterial small subunit ribosomal RNA", at positions 509 to 807 of the family's 1533-position model. The record is from RNAcentral.